CAGAUUUUUAUAUUCUUGAUAAAUAUCCAUUGGCUGUAAGACCUUUCUAUACCAUGCCUGACCCAAGAAAUCCCAAACAGUCCAACUCUUACGAUAUGUUCAUGAGAGGAGAAGAAAUAUUGUCAGGAGCUCAAAGAAUACAUGAUCCUCAGCUGCUAACAGAGAGAGCUUUACAUCAUGGAAUUGAUUUGGAGAAAAUUAAGGCUUACAUUGAUUCCUUUCGCUUUGGAGCCCCUCCUCAUGCUGGUGGAGGCAUUGGUAAUAUUCUGUUAUUGCUUACAAAUAAGUUCAUAAGUUCUAAGUAUAAUAUAAAUUUGAAUUACAAGAAUUUUUAAAAGUGAAUUACAACGUAAGUGAAAAUUUGAUUUCCAAGAAACAAAAUAAACAGCUAACUUGCCUGUUAUAAAAUAUUAUUGUCAUAAAGUUCUAGCCAUUUUUUUUCUCUUAAGAAUUUAGAAGCCAAAUGUCCUGUAAGUGGAGUAUCCUGUUUUCUCUCUGCUGCUGUGAGUUCAUUCGCAUUAGCACAAAUUAAAGCUCUACCUUAAAAUA
RNAcentral lists this small RNA (549 nucleotides) under Pongo abelii (Sumatran orangutan). RNAcentral describes it as "retained intron". The record is from RNAcentral. Lineage: Eukaryota; Metazoa; Chordata; Mammalia; Primates; Hominidae.